CCUGGUGGUUAUGGCGGGGUGGCUGCACCCGUUCCCUUUCCGAACACGGCCGUGAAACGCCCUUGCGCCCAUGGUACUUCGUCUUAAGACGCGGGAGAGUAGGUCGCUGCCAGGU
This 115-nucleotide ribosomal RNA is filed under the name Rhizobium leguminosarum bv. viciae. The record is from RNAcentral. Lineage: Bacteria; Pseudomonadati; Pseudomonadota; Alphaproteobacteria; Hyphomicrobiales; Rhizobiaceae.